RNAcentral lists this long non-coding RNA (1341 nucleotides) under Manihot esculenta (cassava). RNAcentral describes it as "long non-coding RNA (MESC_LNC003045)". Lineage: Eukaryota; Viridiplantae; Streptophyta; Magnoliopsida; Malpighiales; Euphorbiaceae. The record is from RNAcentral.
AAUAAAAAUUACGAAACGGAAGAAAGUGAGUAAAUUAGAGGAUCUCUAAGGCCUAACAAACGAAAACGCCCAAUACCCACAGAAUCUUAAAGACCCGAUCCUAGAUUGACUCAACCCUUCAGCCUAGUGAAGCUCUAACCAGUUGUGCCGCUCUAACCAGGUGUGCCGCUCCCCCUCUUCAGUCAAUUCCCGUUAGUUCUACUUAAAGAUGCCAAAUCAGAAGAGAUCUCCUCUUUCAAUUGUAGCCAGACAGCAAGACAGUAAAUUGAGAAUUAGAACAGGAUUUGCACCGGCCAGGCAUCAAGGAACUAGGGGCUUCCAAAGCAAGGACAAAUGAGGCUUCGAAAUCGUAGAAGACAUGCAUCGUCGGAUUAGUCAAGGAGUGAUGGAUCCUGACCCUGACAAAGGGAAGGUGACACUUUCGCAAUCAUAUCAAGGUACCAACAGCAGAGCCAAGUGUCGCAGGUGACAGUCCCACGAGCUCUCAGAAGGAUGGUGCUCGUAGGCCUAUGGGAGUAGCAAAAUUGUCCAAGGAAUGAAGAGACAGGCCAAUCGUUGGGGAAGAGUAGCAACGGGGCUAUUGGGUUAGCCUAUUCUACCAAUAGUACAAUUUUACCAGCAGUGGCAGGCCUACGAGAGCCAAUGGGUCUACAAGGUGCGCAGGAAUUGCGAGGCACAUAAGAGAUGCGAUAUACUUGUAUAUAGCUUAGAUUUUGUAUUUUCAUGCACAUAUAUCUAAUAGAGUGUUUUGAUUAUUAUUUGUGAACUCUUUGAUCUAUUCUUAUCUAGUUUCAACGCACAUCUCUAUUGUCUAAAUUGGCAUAUUUGAGAGAAGAUUAACUAAUAUUUUCAAGGUUGGAGUGAUUUUACUAGUACCUCACAAAUACUUUAAUUAGAAUAAAGCAUUUUAUCCAUGACAAAAAAAAAACUUCCAAUGAUCAACACUAGUGCGAGAAGAUCACUGAGUUGUUUUCUGCUAGCUCCCAAUGCCUCCUCCCCCCAAGAUGCAAUCUUGAAAAGCACAGAUUUGGAGGCCGCCACCUAUAAAAAAUGAAAAAAUGAAACCAACAAAUCAUUGAGAAAAGUUUUUCUCUCUAAACGUUAGUAAUAUUUUGAAUAACUAAUUGUCCAUUAUCAUCAAUGUGGGGCCUGCAGCUAUGUAAAUGGUUAUUCUCCAGCUCGUGUCUAAUUGUUGUGGGUAGGCGGCCUAAGGUGGCUUUGCAGGCCCCACACUUCACGUCGAUGGUUCUUUCUUGGAACCUUCAAGCUUCUUUUUAGAGAUCUCAUAAAGGUGAAUAAGCGCUUCUAGAUGCUCAUUACAUCUACGCGGGCAGAUGAGGA